RNAcentral lists this ribosomal RNA (253 nucleotides) under uncultured bacterium. RNAcentral's name for it is "partial 16S ribosomal RNA". It matches the Rfam family "Bacterial small subunit ribosomal RNA", at positions 524 to 776 of the family's 1533-position model. The record is from RNAcentral.
UACGUAGGGUCCGAGCGUUGUCCGGAAUUAUUGGGCGUAAAGGGCUCGUAGGCGGUUCGUCACGUCGGGUGUGAAAACUCGGAGCUUAACUCCGAGCCUGCUUCCGAUACGGGCAGACUAGAGGUAGGCAGGGGAGAGCGGAACUCCUGGUGUAGCGGUGGAAUGCGCAGAUAUCAGGAAGAACACCGGUGGCGAAGGCGGCUCUCUGGGCCUUACCUGACGCUGAGGUGCGAAAGCGUGGGGAGCAAACAGG